CUACGGGUGGCUGCAGUGGGGAAUCUUAGACAAUGGGCGCAAGCCUGAUCUAGCCAUGCCGCGUGAGUGAUGAAGGCCUUAGGGUCGUAAAGCUCUUUCGCUGGGGAAGAUAAUGACGGUACCCAGUAAAGAAACCCCGGCUAACUCCGUGCCAGCAGCCGCGGUAAUACGGAGGGGGUUAGCGUUGUUCGGAAUUACUGGGCGUAAAGCGCGCGUAGGCGGACUGUUAAGUCGGGGGUGAAAUCCCGGGGCUCAACCCCGGAACGGCCUUCGAUACUGGCAGUCUGGAGUUCGAGAGAGGGGAGUGGAAUUCCGGGUGUAGAGGUGAAAUUCGUAGAUAUUCGGAGGAACACCAGUGGCGAAGGCGGCUCACUGGCUCGAUACUGACGCUGAGGUGCGAAAGUGUGGGGAGCAAACAGGAUUAGAUACCCGAGUAGUC
Molecule: ribosomal RNA, 439 nt
Filed under: uncultured bacterium
Lineage: Bacteria
Description: partial 16S ribosomal RNA
Rfam family: Bacterial small subunit ribosomal RNA
Source: RNAcentral